UACAGAGACUGCAAGCGUUAUUCGGAUUCACUGGGCGUAAAGGGUGCGCAGGCGGCCAGGUGUGUCAGGUGUGAAAGCCCGGAGCUUAACUCCGGAAUUGCGCCUGAAACUACUUGGCUAGAGCAUUGGAGAGGGUAGCGGAAUUCACGGUGUAGCAGUGAAAUGCGUAGAUAUCGGGAGGAACACCGGUGGCGAAGGCGGCAUCCUGGACCGACACUGACGCUGAGGAGCGAAAGCCAGGGGAGCAAACGGG
This 253-nucleotide ribosomal RNA is filed under the name uncultured bacterium. Its description in RNAcentral is "partial 16S ribosomal RNA". It matches the Rfam family "Bacterial small subunit ribosomal RNA", at positions 524 to 776 of the family's 1533-position model. The record is from RNAcentral.